UUAUUACAUUACAAGCGAUACCUCAAAUUCCAAAAAUGCUCCUCUAGUCCCGAGCUUGGUAAAUAAGGCCGUGGGAAAUUUUUUUCUUCCGGCCUUUAAGUGAUAGGGGGGAGUCACUCUUGCGUUCUCUCUCUUGGGUAGGUCAGUCUCGCUCUCUCUUGUCGGUAAGUAUAUCUGUUAUGGUAUUGCUGUCGUGCCGUUCCAGUAGUGUUUGUUAAUUUGUAGUUUUGAGGGGGGGAAUGAAAAAAGGUAAAUAAAGACCUUAGCCAAAAGCAAGGGAUUCCCGGGGCCCGAACGAGAGCAGAGGCAGCAGGGCAGGUAUUCUCAAAAAAGAAAGAAACGAAAACAGGCAGGGAGGUAAGAGCGAGUAAGACUAGGU
This 379-nucleotide long non-coding RNA is filed under the name Nicotiana benthamiana. Its description in RNAcentral is "long non-coding RNA (NBEN_LNC034091)". Lineage: Eukaryota; Viridiplantae; Streptophyta; Magnoliopsida; Solanales; Solanaceae. The record is from RNAcentral.